GCCUUCGUGGUGUAGUGGUCAGCAUGCUCGACGCGUAACCGAGAGUUCCGUGGUUCGAUUCCCGGCGACGGCG
This 73-nucleotide transfer RNA is filed under the name Stegodyphus mimosarum. It matches the Rfam family "tRNA". Rfam says of the family: Transfer RNA (tRNA) molecules are approximately 80 nucleotides in length. Their secondary structure includes four short double-helical elements and three loops (D, anti-codon, and T loops). Lineage: Eukaryota; Metazoa; Arthropoda; Arachnida; Araneae; Eresidae. The record is from Rfam by way of RNAcentral.